UCGAGAAUAUUCGACAAUGGGGGAAACCCUGAUCGAGCGACGCCGCGUGAAGGAAGAAGCCCUUCGGGGUGUAAACUUCUUUUCUGCCAGAAUAAGUCGCAAGACUGAAGGUAUGGCAGGAAUAAGGGGAUGCAAAUUCUGUGCCAGCAGCCGCGGUAAGACAGAAUCCCCAAGCGUUAUCCGGAUUUAUUGGGCGUAAAGCGUCUGUAGGUGGCGAGAAAAGUCUUUAGUUAAAAUUCCUGGGCUUAACCUGGGAGGUGCUAAAGAUACUUUCUGGCUUGAGGGCGUUAGGGGCUGACGGAACGGUCGGUGUAGGAGUGAAAUCCAUUGAUAUCGACCGGAACACCAAAAGCGAAGGCAGUCAGCUAGGGCGACCCUGACACUGAGAGACGAAAGCGUGGGGAGCAAAAAGG
Molecule: ribosomal RNA, 413 nt
Filed under: uncultured bacterium
Lineage: Bacteria
Description: bacterial SSU rRNA
Rfam family: Bacterial small subunit ribosomal RNA
Source: RNAcentral